Molecule: long non-coding RNA, 1921 nt
Filed under: Capsicum annuum
Lineage: Eukaryota; Viridiplantae; Streptophyta; Magnoliopsida; Solanales; Solanaceae
Description: long non-coding RNA (CANN_LNC011245)
Source: RNAcentral
UUUCCUUAAAUUUUUUUGUUAUUUACCCUUAAUUUCUUGCUAAAGUUCCCCUUCUCUUUCUAAAAUUCCUAGAAGCUUUGUGGCUUGAUUUUCACUCCACUAUAUCUUGAAAUUCACCCAUUUUUAGAUUAAAUUUCCUUGAGCAUAGAGGGACAUAGAGUUGGUUUUAGAAAUGUGAUUUGCAUAAAUGGUCCCACAUGGGACUAUUACGUAAUUUUCUAUUCAAAUCACAAUGUUGUGAUAUAGGUAUCAUUGCUCUCAUUUUGAUUAAUAUAUUAUGAUUUUAAUAGCAUGCCACCUUAUGGAAGUUUCUCAAAAGGGGAAAUCAAUUAUUUAGUACACUUUUCAUGCUUUUCUUCGUUGCCCGGGUAGUCUAGGUUUUCCUUUCUUAUACAUUGAGCUAUUUUGUAGUAUACUUAUCAUAUUAUUCUAGAUAUGGGGUGUGAUUUAGCAUUUAGAAGUAUGAAUGCAAGUAUUUUGUGUAAUUGGGCCAUUAGCCUAUCUUAAAAUCAUAGGCUUGGGGUAGUUAUCGUAGUCAUUCAUGGCUUAGGUGGAUUGAGCUUCGUGGUAUACAUAUAUAUAUAUAUUUGGUAUGGAUUAUAGACAUGGCAUGGCUAACAUGUAUGAUAUGGCUUAUAGAUACGAUUAAUGCCUUAUUGGUAUGAUGGAUGGCCUAUAGAUAUGAUGUUCAUAUGAAGUCAAGAUUUUCUUUAUAAUAUCACUUAUAAAUCUUAGCAUUGCUAUGGAUUUUUUAUAUAGAAAAUAAUAUGGCUUAUAGAUGUGAUUUUGGAUGAGACUUGUGGUUAUAAAUCUUGGUCUGGGGUAUAAAAAAGUGUAAAGGGAUGGAUUAUAGCAAUGAAUCAUUGGGAUAAUCUUUUGAGUUCAGCUUAUUGAAAUGCCUCGCUAAAAUGUUCAUUGGUAUGGUUUAUAAUUAUGAGUUUCAGUUUAAGUUUGGUAAUUGCUGAUGAUAUAAAUGAUAUAAGUUCUUGUUUAAGUAAAAAAAUAAUGAUGAUGCUAUUGAGUUUUGGUUCGAGUCCAGCAUUAAGGAUUGGUUAUGAUGUCAUAUAGGACGGAUGGAUUCAUUGUUGUGCCAUGAUAGUUUGUAAUUACUAUUAUUCAGCUAUUAGUUUCCUUGAUUUUACCCUCCAGGUUUAUAAGGUCCUGCGUCAGUGAAGUGUUAUGGUUUCAUGGCACAUUUGAUGAUUAAAUAGUGAAAACAUGAAUUUACUUAGGUUGUUUUGUUGGAUAUAAUGUGUUUUUAUGUAUAUUGCAGGUUAAUUAGGUUGGAAGUGGUGUUGAAUGGAAAAGGAGGAAAAAUAUAAAAAAAUGCAAGUACUAUCUGAUAAUGAGUUGUAUAGUAACCUAAUGAAUCAUUUCCAAAGUUGCGAUAAUAUUAGUUGUUGUGGAUGAUUUAUAGUAGUGAAUUAAAGACUAACCAUGACUCGUUAUUUGUGAUACCAUGAAUUGUUAUUUGUGACUACGAAUCAUGGUGUGCAAUCGUUCUGAUCAUGGAUACAAAAGUCCUGAAAGUUGACAAAAUGAAGUCCUAGUGGAUAUGAGUGAAGGCCACGAGUCAUGAUGAUUGACUAUGAAUCAUGGUAAGGAUUCUUUAUAACAAUAUACUCAAGAUUCCUUAAAGUGAAAAUAUAUUGGAGUGAUGAUGACUCGCAACAUACGAAUCAUUAUGUCACCUAAUGAAUCGUGACCUCUAAAGCAAAAUAAGAGCUACGAUAGCAGGCGAUGAAUUAUGAUAGUCCUAAUGACUCAGUUCGAGAUAAUUUGCCUAUUUUGUUUUAAUAAAAUUUCCUUUAUUAUUUUGAGAUACUAUAAAUACCCUUGGGUUAUUCUUGUAUUAUGUUACACAUUUUGAGAUAUUCUUACGUACUUUGACAUCUUUGAUAAUCUUACUCUUGGUUCUGGG